Molecule: ribosomal RNA, 549 nt
Filed under: uncultured Glomus
Lineage: Eukaryota; Fungi; Glomeromycota; Glomeromycetes; Glomerales; Glomeraceae
Description: SSU rRNA
Rfam family: Eukaryotic small subunit ribosomal RNA
Source: RNAcentral
UUGGAGGGCAAGUCUGGUGCCAGCAGCCGCGGUAAUUCCAGCUCCAAUAGCGUAUAUUAAAGUUGUUGCAGUUAAAAAGCUCGUAGUUGAAUUUCGGGAUCAAUUUAUCGGUCGUGCCAAUGGUAUGAACUGGUACAAUUGGUUUCUCCCUUCUGACGAAGCAUGAUGUCAUUAAUUUGGUGUCGUGGGGAAUCAGGACUGUUACUUUGAAAAAAUUAGAGUGUUCAAAGCAAGCAUUAGCUUGAAUACAUUAGCAUGGAAUAAUGAAAUAGGACGUUUGAUCCUAUUUCGUUGGUUUCUAGGAUCGACGUAAUGAUUAAUAGGGAUAGUUGGGGGCAUUAGUAUUCAAUUGUCAGAGGUGAAAUUCUUGGAUUUAUUGAAGACUAACUACUGCGAAAGCAUUUGCCAAGGAUGUUUUCAUUAAUCAAGAACGAAAGUUAGGGGAUCGAAGACGAUCAGAUACCGUCGUAGUCUUAACCAUAAACUAUGCCGACUAGGGAUCGGAUGAUGUUAAUUUUUUAAUGACUCAUUCGGCGCCUUACGGGAAAA